UACGUAGGGGGCAAGCGUUGUCCGGAAUCAUUGGGCGUAAAGCGCGUGUAGGCGGCUAGGUAAGUCUGCUCUGAAAGCCCGGGGCUCAACCCCGGGAGGCGGGUGGAUACUGUCUAGCUCGAGUCCGGAAGGGGCUACUGGAAUUCUCGGUGUAGCGGUGAAAUGCGUAGAUAUCGAGAGGAACACCUGCGGCGAAGGCGGGUAGCUGGGCCGACACUGACGCUGAGGCGCGAAAGCCAGGGGAGCGAACGGG
RNAcentral lists this ribosomal RNA (253 nucleotides) under uncultured bacterium. RNAcentral describes it as "partial 16S ribosomal RNA". It matches the Rfam family "Bacterial small subunit ribosomal RNA", at positions 524 to 776 of the family's 1533-position model. The record is from RNAcentral.